RNAcentral lists this ribosomal RNA (252 nucleotides) under uncultured bacterium. RNAcentral describes it as "partial 16S ribosomal RNA". It matches the Rfam family "Bacterial small subunit ribosomal RNA", at positions 91 to 334 of the family's 1533-position model. The record is from RNAcentral.
CCUAGUGGCGGACGGGUGAGUAACACGUAGGUAACCUACCCUUGGGAUCGGAAUACUCCCGAGAAAUCGGGGACAAUACCGGGUAUCAUUUCAGGGCGAAAUUCCCUGUAAUAAAAGCUGCGAGCAAUCGUGGCGCCUAAGGAUGGGCCUGCGGCCUAUCAGCUUGUUGGUGAGGUAACGGCUUACCAAGGCUAUGACGGGUAACCGGACUGAGAGGUCGAUCGGUCACACUGGAACUGAGACACGGUCCAG